AUGCAACGUGCUUCGAGCAUUCCCGCGGAGGCUGCCAUUCAAACUUUGGCAAGGGGUAUCUUGUUUGUCUCGCAGCGCUGGCAGGCAGUCAGCUGGUGAGGCCCUGUCAUGAUUGACCCCAAAGUGUUCCUCAGCCUGCUUGUCCUCCUGGCGCUAUUCAUCGCAGCAAGCGUCGCUGGAGCCGUCUGCUAUAUAUGCCGUGUUCUCAAAAAGGACUCCCGCAGAAGCCUUAAAGACGACCUGGUCAUCGUUUUGGACGGCACGGAGCCACCGCCACCCUACGACUGGACAAACCGCUGACCACGCAAACAUCUCAAUAAAUACUGUCUUUUAUG
Molecule: long non-coding RNA, 335 nt
Organism: Ixodes scapularis (black-legged tick)
Lineage: Eukaryota; Metazoa; Arthropoda; Arachnida; Ixodida; Ixodidae
Exons: 3
Source: RefSeq, a predicted model, not a curated record